RNAcentral lists this long non-coding RNA (259 nucleotides) under Homo sapiens (human). RNAcentral's name for it is "HSALNT0214519". Lineage: Eukaryota; Metazoa; Chordata; Mammalia; Primates; Hominidae. The record is from RNAcentral.
UGAUUAUAAGUUCUGAGGCACUUGGAUCCUAUUUCUUGAGGGAGGCAGAGACCAAAACCUUUGAAAUAUGAGACCCACUAAACGAGCACAGAAUAGAGUUUGGUCUGUCCCUUUGUUCUGUCUCUGACAGUAGUAGCAAGAGAUGCUUUAUGGGAAGAACACAGUAUGGAUUCCAAAGGAUAGAAGCAACCCCUGAGACUUGUGGUUGAGUUGUGCCCUCAUCCAUCAGCUGUGGACUCCAAUGGUGAAGUAAUGUUCU